RNAcentral lists this ribosomal RNA (1646 nucleotides) under Triticum aestivum (bread wheat). RNAcentral describes it as "partial small subunit ribosomal RNA". Lineage: Eukaryota; Viridiplantae; Streptophyta; Magnoliopsida; Poales; Poaceae. The record is from RNAcentral.
CCCAAAACCCUUUUCAGACCCUGCGACUCCAUCCUCCUCAUUUUCUCUUCUUCCUUCUUUCUCUCUUGUCUUCGCUGCCGCUCCACCACCCCGGCCACCACGCCACACCCCUGCUGGAACUCCGCGUCUCCGUCACCUUCGACGCUCCAGCAGGGCUCCCUGCCGCUUCUCCUCCGUCUCCAUUCAACCCCUGUCCUCCGACCGUCCCGCCAGCAAUGAAUUCCGAUUUGGAGUACAUAUACUAGCAGUAUAUUGAGUCGUCUGAUGUCUCGUCGGACGAGGAGGAGUACUCCGAUGAGACGACGAUGAUGCAGGUUGUCCUUGAAGACGCGGAGGGUGCGGAGGAGCAUGCUCCCAAUUUCAAGGGCUUGAUCAAGGGUCAUAGGGUGCUCAGCUGCAACAGGACGCGCAAGCAUUUGACAUUGAUGGCCGACUACUUUGCCCACGAUGCACUAUUUGACCAUUUUCGCCGGCAUUUUCGAAUGCGCAAGACUGUCUUCAAUCGUUUGUACCAUGGUGCCCGGUCCUACGAUGACUACUUCAUCCUGAAGAAGGCUUCUCUGGUUACCAGAAUUGCACGGCCGCACUCCGGAUGGUUGCAUAUGGCAUGGUUGCUGAUUCGUGGGAUGAGUACCCACGGAUGUCUGAGAGCACAUGCGGAGAUGCCAUUGUCAGGUUUGCAACUGCCGUGGUCGAGGUGUUCAGACCUCAGUACCUGAGAGAACCAACUAUGGCAGACACCGACAUGCUCUUGGCAAUCUCAGAAGUAAGAGGGUGGCCAGAUUUGCUUGGACCUCUUGACUGCAUUAAUUGGAAAUGGAAGAACUACCCGAAGGCUUUACAAGGGCAAUAUCAGGGUCAUGUUUAGAAGCCCACCAUCAUUCUUGAAGCAGUUGCAUCACAGGAUCUUUGGAUUUAGCAUGGUUUCUUUGGCAUGCUCGGGUCUCACAAUGACAUCAAUGUGAUGCAAUGAUCGCCGUUGUUUGUGAGGCUGGCUGAAGGAAAAGCUCCUCCUUGCCAUGACACUGUCAAUGGACAUGAGUACAACAUGGGCUACUAUCUGAUUGAUGGUAUCUAUCCUUCAUGAGCUACCUUUGUCAGCACCAUGUCAAACCCAGUUGGCCAGAAAAAGGCUCACUUUGCCAAAGACAAGGAGCAGCUAGAAAGGAUGUCGAGAGGGCAUUUGGAGUUCUGCAAGCCUGUUUUGCAGUUUUUCGUGGACUUGCAAAACAAUGAGAUCCGGAGACCAUGUGGGAGGUGAUGACAUGUUGUGUGAUCAUGCACAAUAUGAUCAUCUAGGAUGAGGGUGACGAUGCUGCCGCAACUCUGGAUUUUGAGAACAUGGGUGGUCUUAUCCAACUUUCGGACCAGAAUCCGGCCACAUUUGAAGAGUUUAUUCAAAUGCAUCAACAAAUUCGGCAUCGACCAACUCACGGGCAGUUGAAGGAAGAUCUGAUUGAGCAUCAUUGGGUGGUGAAAGGGCACAACAAUGUUGGGAUGUAAUAUUUGAACUCUUUUUAAAUUUGAACUAGUGCUGCAUGUGGCUAUUUGAAUGUAUGUACCCUUUGCAUGCGGCUAUUUGAUCGUGCGGACUUGACAAAAUGAGGAAGGCCAGAUGUAUGCGGCUUUGGUUGGAUGGUGUCCUC